RNAcentral lists this transfer RNA (73 nucleotides) under Erwinia phage vB_EamM_Asesino. It matches the Rfam family "tRNA". Rfam says of the family: Transfer RNA (tRNA) molecules are approximately 80 nucleotides in length. Their secondary structure includes four short double-helical elements and three loops (D, anti-codon, and T loops). Lineage: Duplodnaviria; Heunggongvirae; Uroviricota; Caudoviricetes; Chimalliviridae. The record is from Rfam by way of RNAcentral.
AACCCGUUAGCUUGAGGAAAAAGCACCCGACCCAUAAUCGGAUUUUUCACUGGUUCGAAUCCAGUACGGUGUU